RNAcentral lists this ribosomal RNA (460 nucleotides) under uncultured bacterium. Its description in RNAcentral is "partial 16S ribosomal RNA". It matches the Rfam family "Bacterial small subunit ribosomal RNA", at positions 338 to 795 of the family's 1533-position model. The record is from RNAcentral.
CCUACGGGUGGCAGCAGUGAGGAAUAUUGGUCAAUGGACGAGAGUCUGAACCAGCCAAGUAGCGUGAAGGAUGACUGCCCUAUGGGUUGUAAACUUCUUUUAUAUGGGAAUAAAAUGUUACACGUGUGGGAUUUUGUAUGUACCAUAUGAAUAAGGAUCGGCUAACUCCGUGCCAGCAGCCGCGGUAAUACGGAGGAUCCGAGCGUUAUCCGGAUUUAUUGGGUUUAAAGGGAGCGUAGGUGGAUUGUUAAGUCAGUUGUGAAAGUUUGCGGCUCAACCGUAAGAUUGCAGUUGAAACUGGCAGUCUUGAGUACAGUAGAGGUGGGCGGAAUUCGUGGGGUAGCGGUGAAAUGCUUAGAUAUCACGAAGAACUCCGAUUGCGAAGGCAGUUCACUGGACUGCAACUGACACUGAGGCUCGAAAGUGUGGGUAUCAAACAGGAUUAGAUACCCGUGUAGUC